Drosophila rhopaloa is the source of this 454-nucleotide long non-coding RNA. RefSeq lists it as uncharacterized. NCBI's taxonomy places the organism in Eukaryota, Metazoa, Arthropoda, Insecta, Diptera, Drosophilidae. The transcript is spliced from 4 exons. The record is from RefSeq and is a predicted model, not a curated record.
CCAUCGUGACACUUUGCACUGUUGUUAUAGCCUACGACAAAGGGAAGUGCGAUGCUCCUCCUACCGAGACAGGGGUUUGCAAGGCCGGUUUUCUCAGAAGAUCAAAGCGCAACGGAAAUAAGACGGUAUAACAUGGACUCCAAACUCAUUCUAAUUUUCUUGGCUAUCGUGACACUUUGCACAGUUGUUAUAGCCUACGACACAGCGAAGUGCGAUGCUCCCCCUAGCGAAGAAGGUGUUUGCAGGGCCUAUAUACCAAGCUGGGUCUAUAAAGAAAAAAAAUGUCAGCAAAUUAUAUAUGGCGGAUGCGAUGCCACAGCCAACAUAUUUAGUACAAUAGAAGCAUGCAAGACAGCUUGCCAAAACUAACACUUAACGAAAAUAAAAAGGAAUCAAAAUACAAAAAUUAACAACAAAACUUGUAAAAAUAAAUCAGAUUUCUAACCGAAGAAAA